CCUGGCUCAGGACGAACGUUGGCGGCGUGCCUAAUACAUGCAAGUCGAACGAGAGCGAGCUGUGCUUGCACUGGUCAAUCUAGUGGCGAACGGGUGAGUAACACGUGGGUAACCUGCCCAUCAGAAGGGGAUAACAUUCGGAAACGGAUGCUAAAACCGCAAAGGUCUUCGAACCGCAUGGUUUGAAGAGGAAAAGAGGCGCAAGCUUCUGCUGAUGGAUGGACCCGCGGUGCAUUAGCUAGUUGGUGAGGUAACGGCUCACCAAGGCCGUGAUGCAUAGCCGACCUGAGAGGGUGAUCGGCCACAUUGGAACUGAGACACGGUCCAAACUCCUACGG
Molecule: ribosomal RNA, 338 nt
Filed under: uncultured bacterium
Lineage: Bacteria
Description: bacterial SSU rRNA
Rfam family: Bacterial small subunit ribosomal RNA
Source: RNAcentral